GAUGAACGCUGGCGGCGUGCCUAAUACAUGCAAGUCGAGCGAACAGACGAGGAGCUUGCUCCUCUGACGUUAGCGGCGGACGGGUGAGUAACACGUGGAUAACCUACCUAUAAGACUGGGAUAACUUCGGGAAACCGGAGCUAAUACCGGAUAAUAUAUUGAACCGCAGGGUUCAAUAGUGAAAGACGGUUUUGCUGUCACUUAUAGAUGGAUCCGCGCCGCAUUAGCUAGUUGGUAAGGUAACGGCCUACCAAGGCAACGAUGCGUAGCCGACCUGAGAGGGUGAUCGGCCACACUGGAACUGAGACACGGUCCAGACUCCUACGGGAGGCAGCAGUGGGGAAUCUUCCGCAAUGGGCGAAAGCCUGAUGGAGCCACGCCGCGUGAGUGAUGAAGGUCUUCGGAUCGUAAAGCUCUGUUAUUAGGGAAGAACAAAUGCGUAAUUAACUAUGCACGUCUUGACGGUACCUACUCAGAAAGCCACGGCUAACUACGUG
This 497-nucleotide ribosomal RNA is filed under the name uncultured bacterium. RNAcentral describes it as "partial 16S ribosomal RNA". It matches the Rfam family "Bacterial small subunit ribosomal RNA", at positions 28 to 507 of the family's 1533-position model. The record is from RNAcentral.